This 750-nucleotide ribosomal RNA is filed under the name Triticum aestivum (bread wheat). RNAcentral describes it as "partial small subunit ribosomal RNA". Lineage: Eukaryota; Viridiplantae; Streptophyta; Magnoliopsida; Poales; Poaceae. The record is from RNAcentral.
AUGGCCGGAGCAGUAGACGAUCUGAAGCUGCUGGGCGCGUGGUACAGCCCGUACGUCCUGCGAGUGCGCCUUGCCCUCAGCAUCAAGGGCAUCAGCUACGAGUACGCAGAGGAGGACCUCCAGCACAAGAGCGAGCUGCUCCUCCGGUCAAACCCCGUCCAUAACAAGGUCCCCGUGCUGAUCCACGGCGGCAACCCCGUCUGCGAGUCGCUGGUCAUCCUACAGUACAUCGACGAGGCUUUCGGCGGAGCCGGCCCCGCCCUCCUCCCGGCCGACCCCUACGAGCGCGCCGUCGCCCGGUUCUGGGCCGCCUUCAUCGAGGACACGCUCGUGAAAGCGAUGAACCAGGCGUCAUGGAGCAAGACGGAGGGGGAGAAAGUGGAGGGGAACAAACAGGCGACUGCUGCCUUGAACACCCUGGAGGCGGCCCUGAGGGAUAUCUCCAAGGGGAAGUGUCAGGACCCCGACUCGAUGUCACAUCGAUCUAGCCGGAAGCCCUUCUUUGGAGGCGACAGCGCCGGGUAUGUGGACAUCAUCCUCGGCGGCCUCCUCGCAGGGGUGCGCGCCAUGGAGGCGAUGCUGGGCGUCAAGGCCUUCGACCCAGUCACGAUGCCGCUCCUGGCCGCGUGGGCAGACCACUUCGGCGCGCUGGACGAGGUGGUGGCCGUGAUGCCGGACGUGAGCAGGCUGGUGGAGCUCUUCAUGACGAUGCACGCUCAGAUUGCGGCCGAGGCCGCCACAGCAAACUAA